RNAcentral lists this ribosomal RNA (207 nucleotides) under uncultured bacterium. RNAcentral's name for it is "partial 16S ribosomal RNA". It matches the Rfam family "Bacterial small subunit ribosomal RNA", at positions 568 to 774 of the family's 1533-position model. The record is from RNAcentral.
CGCGUAGGCGGUUUGAUCAGUCGGAUGUGAAAGCCCCGGGCUCAACCUGGGAAUUGCAUUCGAUACUGUCUUACUAGAAUGUGGUAGAGGGAAGUGGAAUUCCAGGUAUAGCGGUGAAAUGCGUAGAUAUCUGGAGGAACAUCAGUGGCGAAGGCGACUUCCUGGACCAACAUUGACGCUGAGGUGCGAAAGCGUGGGGAGCAAACA